This 233-nucleotide ribosomal RNA is filed under the name uncultured bacterium. RNAcentral's name for it is "partial 16S ribosomal RNA". It matches the Rfam family "Bacterial small subunit ribosomal RNA", at positions 103 to 334 of the family's 1533-position model. The record is from RNAcentral.
CGGGUGAGUAACGCGUGAGGAACCUGCCUCAAAGAGGGGGACAACAGUUGGAGACGACUGCUAAUACCGCAUAAGCCCACGGCUCGGCAUCGAGCAGAGGGAAAAGGAGCAAUCCGCUUUGAGAUGGCCUCGCGUCCGAUUAGCUAGUUGGUGAGGUAACGGCCCACCAAGGCGACGAUCGGUAGCCGGACUGGGAGGUUGAACGGCCACAUUGGGACUGAGACACGGCCCAG